UCCUGGCUUAGGACGAACGCUGGCGGCGUAGCCUAACACAUGGCAAGUCGAAACGGGGGUCCAAUCCAGUGGCAACACUGGGGAAGACCUAGUGGCGAACGGGUGCGGAACACGUGAGCAACCUGCCCCAGAGACCGGAAUAACAGCGGGAAACCGCUGCUAAUACCGGAUACCCCCCUCGAGCCCGCAUGGGCCCGUGAGGAAAGGAUUCCGCUCGUGGGAGGGGCUCGCGGCCUAUCAGCUUGUUGGUGAGGUAACGGCUCACCAAGGCUCCGACGGGUAGCUGGUCUGAGAGGACGAUCAGCCACACUGGGACUGAGACACGGCCCAGACUCCUACGGGAGGCAGCAGUGGGGAAUCUUGCGCAAUGGGCGAAAAAGCCUGACGCAGCAACGCCGCGUGGGGGAUGAAUGCCUUCGGGUUGUAAACCCCUUUCAGUGGGAACGAAACUGACGGUACCCACAGAAGAAGCCCCGGCCAACUACGUGCCAGCCGCUGC
Molecule: ribosomal RNA, 499 nt
Filed under: uncultured bacterium
Lineage: Bacteria
Description: bacterial SSU rRNA
Rfam family: Bacterial small subunit ribosomal RNA
Source: RNAcentral